Molecule: ribosomal RNA, 498 nt
Filed under: uncultured bacterium
Lineage: Bacteria
Description: partial 16S ribosomal RNA
Rfam family: Bacterial small subunit ribosomal RNA
Source: RNAcentral
GACGAACGCUGGCGGCGUGCCUAAUACAUGCAAGUCGAACGAGAGCGCCCGGUGCUUGCACUGGUCAAUCUAGUGGCGAACGGGUGAGUAACACGUGGGUAACCUGCCCAUCAGAGGGGGAUAACAUCCGGAAACGGAUGCUAAAACCGCAUAGGUCUUCGAACCGCAUGGUUUGAAGAGGAAAAGAGGCGCAAGCUUCUGCUGAUGGAUGGACCCGCGGUGCAUUAGCUAGUUGGUGAGGUAACGGCUCACCAAGGCCGUGAUGCAUAGCCGACCUGGGAGGGUGAUCGGCCACAUUGGGACUGAGACACGGCCCAAACUCCUACGGGAGGCAGCAGUAGGGAAUCUUCCGCAAUGGACGCAAGUCUGACGGAGCAACGCCGCGUGAGUGAAGAAGGUUUUCGGAUCGUAAAACUCUGUUGUUAGAGAAGAACAAGUGCUAGAGUAACUGUUAGCGCCUUGACGGUAUCUAACCAGAAAGCCACGGCUAACUACGUG